Molecule: unclassified non-coding RNA, 163 nt
Organism: Chelonoidis abingdonii (Abingdon island giant tortoise)
Lineage: Eukaryota; Metazoa; Chordata; Testudines; Testudinidae
Source: Ensembl
UUGAUGGCCCUGGAGACUGAAAUCCUGUUUAAUCACAGGGUAGGUACAGCGCAGCAGCAAAGCAAGUUUCCACACACUGCCCUGGUAUUGUCUUGAGCCUGAGAGACUACCUCCUGUAGAUGAGAGGAGUUCUCCUCCAAAGCCCGUUCUGUCCUUGGCCUUA